CCUACGGGUGGCAGCAGUGAGGAAUAUUGGUCAAUGGACGAGAGUCUGAACCAGCCAAGUAGCGUGAAGGAUGACUGCCCUAUGGGUUGUAAACUUCUUUUAUAUGGGAAUAAAAUGUUCCACGGGAGGGAUGGUGUAUGUAUCAUAUGAAUAAGGAGUGGCUAACUCCGGGCUAGCAGCAGCGGGAAUACGGAGGAGCCGAGCGUUAUCCGGAUUUAUUGGGUUUAAAGGGAGCGUAGGUGGAUUGUUAAGUCAGUUGUGAAAGUUUGCGGCUCAACCGUAAAAUUGCAGUUGAAACGGGCAGUCUUGAUUACAGUCGCGGUGGGCGGAAUUCGUGGUGUAGCGG
This 346-nucleotide ribosomal RNA is filed under the name uncultured bacterium. Its description in RNAcentral is "partial 16S ribosomal RNA". It matches the Rfam family "Bacterial small subunit ribosomal RNA", at positions 338 to 681 of the family's 1533-position model. The record is from RNAcentral.